RNAcentral lists this small nuclear RNA (178 nucleotides) under Cavia porcellus (domestic guinea pig). RNAcentral describes it as "U2 spliceosomal RNA". The stretch from base 1 to 115 matches the Rfam family "U2 spliceosomal RNA". From Rfam's summary of the family: U2 is a small nuclear RNA (snRNA) component of the spliceosome (involved in pre-mRNA splicing). Complementary binding between U2 snRNA (in an area lying towards the 5' end but 3' to hairpin I) and the branchpoint sequence (BPS) of the intron results the bulging out of an unpaired adenosine, on the BPS, which initiates a nucleophilic attack at the intronic 5' splice site, thus starting the first of two transesterification reactions that mediate splicing. The record is from Rfam by way of RNAcentral. Lineage: Eukaryota; Metazoa; Chordata; Mammalia; Rodentia; Caviidae.
AUCACUUUCAGCCUUUUGGCUAAGAUCAAGUGCAGUAUCUGUUCUCAUCAGUAAUAUCUGAUCUGUCCUUUAUCUGAGGACGAUAUAUUAGGUGGAUUUUUUUUUUUGUCUUUUUCCUUUUUAUCGGUACCAGGGAUCAAACUCACGACUGCCUGCUUGCAGGGCAGGCGCUUAUGCC